Non-coding RNA from Photobacterium gaetbulicola Gung47, 193 nucleotides. It matches the Rfam family "GcvB RNA". From Rfam's summary of the family: The gcvB gene encodes a small untranslated RNA involved in expression of the dipeptide and oligopeptide transport systems in Escherichia coli. Included several unknown homologues in alignment (Bateman A pers obs). It base-pairs with SorC. NCBI's taxonomy places the organism in Bacteria, Pseudomonadati, Pseudomonadota, Gammaproteobacteria, Vibrionales, Vibrionaceae. The record is from Rfam.
CCCCGCAACGGUGAGCAAGGCCAAGUUUUUCGCCCUCAGGCAUUUGGCCGACCGCACAGUUGCGAUGUUGUGUUUGCAUAUUGUCCGGGUUAUGCCGGAUAGGUAGUCAAUCUACCAAUUUUACUUCCUGUAUUUUUGACCUGUCUGUCAAAAUUAAUUCUUGGCACUGCGCCCCAACGCAGUGCUUUUUUUU